This 403-nucleotide ribosomal RNA is filed under the name bacterium. RNAcentral describes it as "partial 16S ribosomal RNA". It matches the Rfam family "Bacterial small subunit ribosomal RNA", at positions 355 to 776 of the family's 1533-position model. The record is from RNAcentral.
UGGGGAAUAUUGCACAAUGGAGGGAACUCUGAUGCAGCGACGCCGCGUGAACGAAGAAGGCUUUCGAGUCGUAAAGUUCUUUUAUAUGGGAAGAUAAUGACGGUACCAUAAGAAAAAGCCCCGGCUAACUACGUGCCAGCAGCCGCGGUAAUACGUAGGGGGCUAGCGUUGUCCGGAAUCACUGGGCGUAAAGGGUUCGCAGGCGGAAAUGCAAGUCAGGUGUAAAAGGCAGUAGCUUAACUACUGUAAGCAUUUGAAACUGCAUAUCUUGAGAGGAGUAGAGGUAAGUGGAAUUUUUAGUGUAGCGGUGAAAUGCGUAGAUAUUAAAAAGAAUACCGGUGGCGAAGGCGACUUACUGGGCUCAUUCUGACGCUGAGGAACGAAAGCGUGGGUAGCGAACAGG